Long non-coding RNA from Patiria miniata (bat star), 281 nucleotides. RefSeq lists it as uncharacterized. Lineage: Eukaryota; Metazoa; Echinodermata; Asteroidea; Valvatida; Asterinidae. The transcript has 2 exons. The record is from RefSeq and is a predicted model, not a curated record.
CGAAAAAAAAAACAGAUUCCAAGUGGAGCUUGAGUUCGUCCAGUGUCUUGCUAAUCCACAUUAUUUGAAUUAUGUCAUCAAAGAGCAUGUAAACACACUCAGAUUCCACUCAUGCAGGGAUAAGAAACACUUCCCUCUCUGGACUCAACUGACCCAACGGCAGGAUUUCAAAGUAAAAUCAUCGACUACAGUCUGCAGCAACCACUUUAAAUACGGCCAGCCAUAUCCUGAUGAACUUCACCCAUCUUUAUUUUUGAGAGGAUACGACCUUCCUGAGACAC